GAUUUUGCUGGAGAUCCAUGUCUAUCUGAGGCCUUCUAAGGGUGAACAAGCCUAACUUGAACCUUUCAUCAUUGGAGAGGUGCUACACAUCUUUGAUCAUUUUCAUGGCUCUCCUUUGGAUCUGAUAUUUAAUGAGAAUACAUACAGUAAUGAGAACCUAGUUCAGCUCAAAAUACAACUAAAUCCCCAGCUGCUUAUUUGCUAUGGAUUAUUCAGUGUGGAAUGUACUACAGCACAUCUGAAGUCCUGAACUGCCCAGCGUUGUAGGAGUGUGACAAUAUCUGCAGUGGGAGACUUGUGUUGCAGUUUAUACUGGCUCUCAACACAGCUGCUGAAGCUGAUAACAUCACCUUUUUCCACCAGAUUAUUGCUGCAAGAUUUGUCUGGACUUUUAUUUUGCUUAGUUUAGGCUGUAGCUUUUCAAAGGCUGCUAUUCUCUUGCAUUUCUCCAGGGAUCUAUUACUUUCCAACUGUCUAUCUUGGAUUCACUGUUUUCCUUCAGGUUCAAAUACUUAUCAGGGAGCUGAAUGACUCAAAGUGACACUUUUGCCCAAAGCACUCUGCAGAAAUUCAUGAGUGAUUAUACAUGUCUUAUAACUUCUUCAGGAAGCAAUGAGGAAAAUGAGUCCUCACUGAGGACACAUUCCUCAGGCUGACUGCCAGCAAAUAAUAAAUCUUGGAAGUAUAUACCACAUAAAACACUAAUGAAAUGACAGCAACCUUAUUAACUGUGCUGUAGUAAAUAGCUACCCCAUUUGAGUUGCUGGAGGGAGAAGUCAGGAGGAAUGCCAGAAGACAGUGAUUUGGUGCAAAAGUAGAGGAUGUGUGGAUAGUGAUGAAAAGCAAAGAUAUGUCCUUGCAUGUAAAUUGGAUGAAACCUUGGUAGUCUUCAGGACUCUUUAACUGUAGACCUAUGAACUGCAUCAUGCUCAGACUGGGAUUGAUUUAAGAGAACAGUGCAGGUAAGAAAACACAGCACCUGCAAGACUGAAGCCAUUCUAAAUACAAGGAUUUGUGCUGACAUCUACACAAAUGGAAUAAUUUUCUGAUGACCUACAUGCUGGUAAAGGGGUUUUUCACUGCUGGUGUCUGGGAUCAAAAGAUUUUUCCUCUGAGCUCAGGUUUUUGAAGAGAUGGAUUUCAGAGAACUUUCUCAUUUUCUGGUCCCCCUGCUGUUUUCCACCAGGAGAUAGGGUAAUGUGACCAGUACAGUCUUAAUUGCUUUGGUUUUAUUGAAACUCAGAUAAUAUCAAAUGCCUUUAACUAUAGAUAAAUGAGUCUUAAUUGUUAGGAUACUUGUUUACCUCUUGUGCCUGUAAGGUUAGCAUGUAUUUGCCUAGUAUAUAGGACCAUAGAUCUCUUACUUUUGGGACUGCUUGAGUGUUUUCUCAAAUCAAUGCUGAUAAUUCCACAUGUGACUGAAUUUCUUGUGCAUGUAGAAUAUAGCUUUGUUCUUUACUCAGUGUUUCCCAGAAAGUGCAUUUUUCAGCUACACUGUGUGCAUUCAUUGCAUGUCUGUUUACUUUCCAGUACUGUAGUGAU
Molecule: long non-coding RNA, 1542 nt
Filed under: Gallus gallus (chicken)
Lineage: Eukaryota; Metazoa; Chordata; Aves; Galliformes; Phasianidae
Description: lncRNA (ENSGALG00010015280.1)
Source: RNAcentral